Molecule: ribosomal RNA, 456 nt
Filed under: Triticum aestivum (bread wheat)
Lineage: Eukaryota; Viridiplantae; Streptophyta; Magnoliopsida; Poales; Poaceae
Description: partial small subunit ribosomal RNA
Source: RNAcentral
AUGGCAUAUGCUCGCUUCGUAUGUGUGGGGCAAAUCCUGAUAGGUAGGGGUAUGAUGGUACCAUGUAUGACUGUCUAUGCAUCAUAUUUUCCUUCCCUGAGUUCUCUCAAUCACAUUUUGGGUGACCAGAAAAUGGCAAACGUACCAGGCAUGAGAGAGAGAGAGAGAGAGAGAGAGAGAUAUGGUCUGCUAGAUCUUUCUGAUAGGCCUAAAUGUACUACUGCGUCACCGAUGAUCGGGGAUUCCAUCUCUAAUCUUUUGCAGAAAAGGAAUGCACGGUUGAUGGACGGCAGAGGGGUGCUCAUGUGGAUCGCACAACGGGGCCCCAACCCCAGAGGGCGAGAAUAUAUGAUUGGAGCUGUACACUGGUAUGUACCAGCAGCGUUAUUGCACCCAAGAUACUUGACUUUAAGUGGUGAUGAUGUGCUAACGUUGCCGGGUGCCCAACAGAAGUGA